Molecule: ribosomal RNA, 259 nt
Filed under: uncultured bacterium
Lineage: Bacteria
Description: partial 16S ribosomal RNA
Rfam family: Bacterial small subunit ribosomal RNA
Source: RNAcentral
UACGGGGGGAGCAAGCGUUGUUCGGAUUUACUGGGCGUAAAGGGCGCGUAGGCGGCCAGCACAAGUCAGUUGUGAAAUCUCCGGGCUUAACUCGGAAAGGUCAACUGAUACUGUGCGGCUGAGAGUGCAGAAGGGGCAACUGGAAUUCUCGGUGUAGCGGUGAAAUGCGUAGAUAAUCGAGAGGAACACCUGCGGCGAAGGCGGGUUGCUGGGCUGACACUGACGCUGAUGCGCGGAAAGCCAGGGGAGGCGAAACGGG